CCUACGGGAGGCAGCAGUGAGGAAUAUUGGUCAAUGGGCGAGAGCCUGAACCAGCCAAGUCGCGUGAAGGAUGACGGCCCUAUGGGUUGUAAACUUCUUUUGUCAGGGAGCAAUUGAGUCCACGUGUGGGCUUAGCGAGAGUACCUGAAGAAAAAGCAUCGGCUAACUCCGUGCCAGCAGCCGCGGUAAUACGGAGGAUGCGAGCGUUAUCCGGAUUUAUUGGGUUUAAAGGGUGCGUAGGCGGAAUAUCAAGUCAGCGGUAAAAUUUCGGGGCUCAACCCCGUCGGGCCGUUGAAACUGGUGUUCUUGAGUGGGCGAGAAGUAUGCGGAAUGCGUGGUGUAGCGGUGAAAUGCAUAGAUAUCACGCAGAACUCCGAUUGCGAAGGCAGCAUACCGGCGCCCAACUGACGCUGAAGCACGAAAGCGUGGGGAUCGAACAGGAUUAGAUACCCUAGUAGUC
This 460-nucleotide ribosomal RNA is filed under the name uncultured bacterium. RNAcentral describes it as "partial 16S ribosomal RNA". It matches the Rfam family "Bacterial small subunit ribosomal RNA", at positions 338 to 795 of the family's 1533-position model. The record is from RNAcentral.